Molecule: ribosomal RNA, 385 nt
Filed under: uncultured bacterium
Lineage: Bacteria
Description: bacterial SSU rRNA
Rfam family: Bacterial small subunit ribosomal RNA
Source: RNAcentral
GACGAACGCUGGCGGCGUGCUUAACACAUGCAAGUCGAGCGGUAAGGCCCUUUCGGGGGUACACGAGCGGCGAACGGGUGGGUAACACGUGGGUGACCUGCCCUUAGCUCUGGGAUAAGCCUGGGAAACUGGGUCUAAUACCGGAUAUGACUCCAUGACGCAUGUUGUGGGGUGGAAAGCCUUGUGCGGCUAGGGAUGGGCCCGCGGCCUAUCAGCUUGUUGGUGGGGUGAUGGCCACCAAGGCGACGACGGUAGCCGGCCUGAGAGGGCGACCGGCCACACUGGGACUGAGACACGGCCCAGACUCCUACGGGAGGCAGCAGUGGGGAAUCUUGCGCAAUGGGCGAAAGCCUGACGCAGCGACGCCGCGUGGGGAUGACGGCCU